UUUUAGGAGAAGUCUGGAAAUAAUUCUGCACACUUGGCUGCAUUGUUUUCAAUAAGAGGAAAUGACAUAGGAGAAAAGAGAGAAAAGAACCUUUCUCCCAGCUCAUAAACACGGUUUCUUUUAGUGGGAUUCAGAGAUCAAGUUGGUGACCAGGCUUGUGUAAAUAUAU
Octopus sinensis (East Asian common octopus) is the source of this 169-nucleotide long non-coding RNA. RefSeq lists it as uncharacterized. The transcript has 3 exons. The record is from RefSeq and is a predicted model, not a curated record. NCBI's taxonomy places the organism in Eukaryota, Metazoa, Mollusca, Cephalopoda, Octopoda, Octopodidae.